Molecule: ribosomal RNA, 255 nt
Filed under: uncultured bacterium
Lineage: Bacteria
Description: partial 16S ribosomal RNA
Rfam family: Bacterial small subunit ribosomal RNA
Source: RNAcentral
GACAGAGGGUGCAAACGUUGCUCGGAAUCACUGGGCGUAAAGGGCGUGUAGGCGGGAGGGAAAGUCAGAUGUGAAAUCCCCCAGGCUCAACCUGGGAACUGCAUUUGAAACUCCCCUUCUUGAGUGAUCGGAGAGGAAAGCGGAAUUCCUGGUGUAGAGGUGAAAUUCGUAGAUAUCAGGAGGAACACCAGUGGCGAAGGCGGCUUCUGGACGGAUUACUGACGCUGAGACGCGAAAGCGUGGGGAGCAAACAGG